AAGUCGUAACAAGGUUUCCGUAGGUGAACCUGCGGAAGGAUCAUUAGAGAAUAAACUAUGGGUGGUGGUCGACGCCGCAAGGCUAGACCCUGCUCUUUAUCCACACACCUGUGCACUGUAGAGCUUUGACUUGACUGUCAAAGUUUGCCCUUUAUACAAACAUAGUAGUCCUAAACGUAACAUCUUAUUAUAACCUAAUAAAACUUUCAACAACGGAUCUCUUGGCUCUC
This 230-nucleotide unclassified non-coding RNA is filed under the name Cryptococcus sp. (in: basidiomycete fungi). RNAcentral's name for it is "Cryptococcus sp. (in: Fungi) partial contains small subunit ribosomal RNA, internal transcribed spacer 1, and 5.8S ribosomal RNA". The stretch from base 1 to 46 matches the Rfam family "Eukaryotic small subunit ribosomal RNA", at positions 1786 to 1831 of the family's 1831-position model. Lineage: Eukaryota; Fungi; Basidiomycota; Tremellomycetes; Tremellales; Cryptococcaceae. The record is from RNAcentral.